AACGAACGCUGGCGGCAUGCCUAACACAUGCAAGUCGAACGAGACCUUCGGGUCUAGUGGCGCACGGGUGCGUAACGCGUGGGAACCUGCCCUUAGGUUUGGAAUAACUCCCCGAAUGGGGUGCUAAUACCGGAUAAUGUCUUCGGACCAAAGGUUUAUCGCCUUUGGAUGGGCUCGCGUUGGAUUAGUUGGUUGGUAGGGUAAAAGCGUACCAAGGCGAGGAUCCAUAGCUGGUCAGAGAGGAAGGUCAGCCACACUGGUGCUGAGACACGGCCCAGACUCCUACGGGAGGGAGCAAAGGGGGAUAUAGGACAAUGGGCGGAAGCCUGAUGGAGCAAUGCCGCGUGAGUGAUGAAAGCCUUGGGGUUGUAAAGCUCUUUUACCCGGGAUGGUAAUGACGGUACCGACAGAAUAAGCACCGGCUAACUCCGUG
RNAcentral lists this ribosomal RNA (433 nucleotides) under uncultured bacterium. RNAcentral's name for it is "partial 16S ribosomal RNA". It matches the Rfam family "Bacterial small subunit ribosomal RNA", at positions 29 to 507 of the family's 1533-position model. The record is from RNAcentral.